AUUGGGCAAAGUAUUUUCCCUCACUUUCCCAUUUCGGUAGGUAGCUCCAAAUUAUCGAUCAACCCUCUCUUAUUUUCCCUCUCUUCCUCUCUCAUUUCCUAAAUCGGCUGGCUAUUUCAGUUGAUUUUCACUUUCCCUCUCUCACUUUCCCUCUCUUGAGCUUGGAUCUGGCUAUGGCUUAGGUGGAUUGAUCAUUGCAAUGACUAUAAAAGCACGGUAAGCUUGGAUAUGGAUAUGGAUUAGGUAGAUUGAUCAUUGUAAUGACUACAAAAACACGGGAAGAUGGAAAUCCCUAAGCUCUGUUAUUUGUUCCACUAAUUGUACCACGACUUGUGGAAGACAUUGCUUUUGCUGUGGCUCAAUUUUUCCAGCGAGGCGGAACCUUCCAAACUAUUACAUGGCCAGUGUUUAUAAAUCUGGAUAACAGUGUGCUACAAGAAUGUGGCCUUUAAUACUGCAAAGAGUAACUCCGUAUCAAAGUCUAUACGUUUGUUACUCAGUCUACGAAAGCCGAUGUAUCUAGCGCAUCCAUGUCAGGUUGGACUUUGGUAAAUGAGCCUGUAGGUAUCUCAAGUGAUAAUACAUUCAAAAAAGUGGGGCUGGUGGAAUAGAUAAACACUACAGCUGAUAAAAGUGAUUAUCUUUGGUACCCUCUAAGUGUCAAUUUAAAAAAUGAUGAUCCUUUGCUUCAAGAUGGAUCUGCAACGGUACUUCAUGUGGAAUCCCUAGGUCAUGUUCUCCACGCUUUUAUUAAUGGAAAGCUAUCAGCCAAGUGAUGCAUGCAGCUAGUGGACUCAUUUCGCCCAUGGAUGCAAGGAGACCUCAUGAUGAUAGUGAUCCUAAUGAUAGUCGUUGAUUUCAUUGCAAAUUGUCUUGGAUAUUCAAUUAUUAUGAUGUAAUUAUGUGGUUGGAGUGAAUCUUAGAAUAUUGAAGGUUUUGUGUUUAAAUCUGAUUUUGGAGUUUGAAGAUACUAGUUAAUGUUGAAAAUUUAGAGUUUGAAAAUGUUAAUGUUUAAAAUUUGAUUUUGAAG
This is a long non-coding RNA of Capsicum annuum, 1030 nucleotides long. RefSeq lists it as uncharacterized. Lineage: Eukaryota; Viridiplantae; Streptophyta; Magnoliopsida; Solanales; Solanaceae. The record is from RefSeq and is a predicted model, not a curated record. The transcript is spliced from 6 exons.